GUCAAAUUGAUUUUAUAAUAAUAUUAGCUUUGGGAGUUGAAGAUUUAUUUUAAGUUUACA
RNAcentral lists this transfer RNA (60 nucleotides) under Scolopendra dehaani. Its description in RNAcentral is "tRNA-Pro". The record is from RNAcentral. Lineage: Eukaryota; Metazoa; Arthropoda; Chilopoda; Scolopendromorpha; Scolopendridae.